Molecule: ribosomal RNA, 301 nt
Filed under: uncultured bacterium
Lineage: Bacteria
Description: partial 16S ribosomal RNA
Rfam family: Bacterial small subunit ribosomal RNA
Source: RNAcentral
CAGUCGCCGCGGGAAUACGAAGGGUGCAAGCGUUAAUCGGAAUUACUGGGCGUAAAGCGUGCGUAGGCGGUUUGUUAAGUCUGCUGUGAAAUCCCCGGGCUCAACCUGGGAAUGGCAGUGGAUACUGGCAAGCUAGAGUGUGUCAGAGGAUGGUGGAAUUCCCGGUGUAGCGGUGAAAUGCGUAGAGAUCGGGAGGAACAUCAGUGGCGAAGGCGGCCAUCUGGGACAACACUGACGCUGAGGCACGGAAGCGUGGGGAGCAAACAGGAUUAGAUACCCGGGUAGUCCCUGUCUCUUAUAA